Hydra vulgaris (swiftwater hydra) is the source of this 520-nucleotide non-coding RNA. NCBI's taxonomy places the organism in Eukaryota, Metazoa, Cnidaria, Hydrozoa, Anthoathecata, Hydridae. The record is from RefSeq and is a predicted model, not a curated record.
AUUAGCUUUACUUGUUGUUGUUUUUUAGGUGAAUCAAUUGCAAUUGAUGGAAUAUCUUUAAAAUGCUGAGAAUAUUUUCCAACAAUUUUGUGAUCUCCAUAAAUAUGAAGGGGAAAGGUGAAAAUAUGCUUUAAGAGCACUAAUUUAUAUGGUGUAGUGAAAGUUCAUGUAAUUUUUUAAAAAUCGAAUAUGCGGAAAGGAGCUGUUUGGAAUGAAGAUUUACAAGAAGAAGUAAUUCCAUCUAAUUGAAUUAGUGAUAAAAUUGUUUGUCGGCUUCCAGGUACCAAAACAUUGACUGCACUAAAAUGCAGAGAAGAGUUGGCUUAAGUUUAUACAAAUAAAAACUAAAUUCUCUUCAGAUAAAUCAAUUACAGAUAAAUUAAUUAGUUAAUUGGUGGAACGUCUUCUAAAGAUAGAAUACACAAAAUUAUGCUGAGGUAAUCAAAAACAGUAUUGGACUCUUACCUCAUUUAUAAUCAGGGUGUCUGCAGCUCCUCUUAAAUCCUCUAAAGUCCUCUUU